UACGUAGGGUGCAAGCGUUAAUCGGAAUUACUGGGCGUAAAGCGCACGUAGGUGGCUUGGCAAGUCGGGUGUGAAAUCCCCGGGCUCAACCUGGGAACUGCAUUCGGGACUGCCUUGCUCGAGUAUGGGAGAGGGAAGUGGAAUUUCCGGUGUAGCGGUGAAAUGCGUAGAUAUCGGGAGGAACAUCAGUGGCGAAGGCGGCUACCUGGCCCAAUACUGACACUCAGGUGCGACAGCGUGGGGAGCAAACAGG
Molecule: ribosomal RNA, 253 nt
Filed under: uncultured bacterium
Lineage: Bacteria
Description: partial 16S ribosomal RNA
Rfam family: Bacterial small subunit ribosomal RNA
Source: RNAcentral